Molecule: ribosomal RNA, 351 nt
Filed under: Triticum aestivum (bread wheat)
Lineage: Eukaryota; Viridiplantae; Streptophyta; Magnoliopsida; Poales; Poaceae
Description: partial small subunit ribosomal RNA
Source: RNAcentral
AUGGCGGAUGAUGAUGGACCUUGGUAUGACGGAUUAAUCGAUGAGUGGGAUAAGGAGCAUCGUGCUCGUGCCAUUGAGAAGGGAGAUCUUGUAGUUGCUAUGCGCAUGAGGGGUCAUUUUGCUGAUGACUUUACUUACGACCCGCGGUACGAGCCUUACGUUCGGAGAUUGGGUCUUCUCCCAUUUGUGUUGCAGUUUAAGCGACGCGCUCCGCCGGUGAACCACGCGGCGCUGACCGCACUUGUGGAUCGUUGGAGGCCGGAGACUCAUUCGUUCCACCUUCCAUGUGGGGAGAUGACGAUGACCCUACAGGACAUGGCUAUGAUAAGCGGCCUUCCUAUCAACGGAUAA